Molecule: non-coding RNA, 209 nt
Organism: Pelobates cultripes (western spadefoot toad)
Lineage: Eukaryota; Metazoa; Chordata; Amphibia; Anura; Pelobatidae
Source: the annotation of a GenBank genome assembly
CUUUUGCUGCCCGGAAAGGAUAAAUGUAAAUUCUACAGGCCAGCCCACUGAGGGCAGUACAUGCAGGGUGCACAGUGCUCUCUGCAAAAUCCUUGUCCCCUUAGCAUAGUUGAUUAUGGGAAAAGGAUGCCAAGCUCAUAAGGUUCGCAGGGUUAGGAAAGAAUAGCUGGCUUGGAGGGUGGAUGCUGACUCUUUAUAUCUGCAUGGAU